This 275-nucleotide ribosomal RNA is filed under the name uncultured bacterium. RNAcentral describes it as "partial 16S ribosomal RNA". It matches the Rfam family "Bacterial small subunit ribosomal RNA", at positions 338 to 606 of the family's 1533-position model. The record is from RNAcentral.
CCUACGGGUGGCUGCAGUGGGGAAUCUUGCGCAAUGGACGAAAGUCUGACGCAGCGACGCCGCGUGGGUGAUGAAGGCCUUCGGGUUGUAAAGCCCUGUGGGGAGAGAAGAAUAAGGCUUGGCUAAUAUCCAAGUCGAUGACGGUAUCUCCUUAGCAAGCACCGGCUAACUCUGUGCCAGCAGCCGCGGUAAGACAGAGGGUGCAAACGUUGUUCGGAAUUACUGGGCGUAAAGCGCGUGUAGGCGGCUGUGCAAGUCGGGUGUGAAAGCCCUGG